GAUGAAGAACGUAGCGAAAUGCGAUAAGUAAUGUGAAUUGCAGAAUUCAGUGAAUCAUCGAAUCUUUGAACGCACAUUGCGCCCGUCAGUAUUCUGGCGGGCAUGCCUGUUCGAGCGUCAUUACAACCCUCAGGCCCCCGGGCCUGGCGUUGGGGAUCGGCGGAAGCCCCCUGCGGGCACAACGCCGUCCCCCAAAUACAGUGGCGGUCCCGCCGCAGCUUCCAUUGCGUAGUAGCUAACACCUCGCAACUGGAGAGCGGCGCGGCCACGCCGUAAAACACCCAACCUCUGAAUGUUGACCUCGAAUCAGGUAGGAAUACCCGCUGAACUUAAGCAUAUCAAUAAGCGGAGGA
Molecule: unclassified non-coding RNA, 353 nt
Filed under: soil metagenome
Description: partial contains 5.8S ribosomal RNA, internal transcribed spacer 2, and large subunit ribosomal RNA
Rfam family: 5.8S ribosomal RNA (bases 1-120)
Source: RNAcentral